RNAcentral lists this ribosomal RNA (1362 nucleotides) under uncultured bacterium. RNAcentral describes it as "bacterial SSU rRNA". It matches the Rfam family "Bacterial small subunit ribosomal RNA", at positions 28 to 1381 of the family's 1533-position model. The record is from RNAcentral.
AUUGAACGCUGGCGGCAUGCCUUACACAUGCAAGUCGAACGGCAGCACGGACUUCGGUCUGGUGGCGAGUGGCGAACGGGUGAGUAAUGUAUCGGAACGUACCUUUCAGUGGGGGAUAACGUAGCGAAAGUUACGCUAAUACCGCAUAUUCUGUGAGCAGGAAAGCAGGGGAUCGCAAGACCUUGCGCUGAUUGAGCGGCCGAUAUCAGAUUAGCUAGUUGGUGGGGUAAAGGCCUACCAAGGCUACGAUCUGUAGCGGGUCUGAGAGGAUGAUCCGCCACACUGGAACUGAGACACGGUCCAGACUCCUACGGGAGGCAGCAGUGGGGAAUUUUGGACAAUGGGGGCAACCCUGAUCCAGCCAUGCCGCGUGAGUGAAGAAGGCCUUCGGGUUGUAAAGCUCUUUCGGCCGGGAAGAAAUCGCAUCAGCUAAUACCUGGUGUGGAUGACGGUACCGGAAUAAGAAGCACCGGCUAACUACGUGCCAGCAGCCGCGGUAAUACGUAGGGUGCGAGCGUUAAUCGGAAUUACUGGGCGUAAAGCGUGCUCAGGCGGUUGUGUAAGACAGGCGUGAAAAUCCCCGGGCUCAACCCUGGGAACUGCCCUUGUGACUGCACAGCUAGAGUUCGGGCAGAGGGGGGUGGAAUUCCACGCGUAGCAGUGAAAUGCAUAUAGAUGUGGAGGAACACCGAGGGCGAAGGCAGCCCCCUGGGCCGAUACUGACGCUCAUGCACGAAAGCGGGGGUAGCAAACAGGAUUAGAUACCCUGGUAGUCCACGCCCUAAACGAUGUCAACUAGGUGUUGGGUGGGUAAAACCAUUUAGUACCGUAGCUAACGCGUGAAGUUGACCGCCUGGGGAGUACGGCCGCAAGGUUAAAACUCAAAGGAAUUGACGGGGACCCGCACAAGCGGUGGAUGAUGUGGAUUAAUUCGAUGCAACGCGAAAAACCUUACCUACCCUUGACAUGUCCAGAAGCCCGGAGAGAUUUGGGUGUGCCCGAAAGGGAACUGGAACACAGGUGCUGCAUGGCUGUCGUCAGCUCGUGUCGUGAGAUGUUGGGUUAAGUCCCGCAACGAGCGCAACCCUUGUCGUUAAUUGCCAUCAUUUAGUUGGGCACUUUAACGAGACUGCCGGUGACAAACCGGAGGAAGGUGGGGAUGACGUCAAGUCCUCAUGGCCCUUAUGGGUAGGGCUUCACACGUCAUACAAUGGUCGGUACAGAGGGUUGCCAAGCCGCGAGGUGGAGCCAAUCCCAGAAAGCCGAUCGUAGUCCGGAUUGCAGGCUGCAACUCGCCUGCAUGAAGUCGGAAUCGCUAGUAAUCGCGGAUCAGCAUGUCGCGGUGAAUACGUUCCCGGGUCU